RNAcentral lists this long non-coding RNA (266 nucleotides) under Bos taurus (domestic cattle). RNAcentral describes it as "long non-coding RNA NONBTAT024048". The record is from RNAcentral. Lineage: Eukaryota; Metazoa; Chordata; Mammalia; Artiodactyla; Bovidae.
CUUUAGAUGCUUAGAAAUAACAGAACUUAAGUUUCCUUAAAGGUCACCUCACCAAACCCCAUAUUCAGUGCGUGAAUUGUAAUUGUAGGAUUUUCCACCUUGUUCGUCUGUAAAUGUCCUUCUAAAACUUGAUGAGAACAGUAGUCUUAUUCCUGUCCCUUUGGAGAACUAAAGUUAUGGUGCUCCUUAUGAGUCAGAGAUGUACCUUUAUAAUUUAUUCGUGAAAAAUUCCAGAGUAGUAUUAGGUAAUUAAAUAGAGCCUUGAC